This 398-nucleotide ribosomal RNA is filed under the name uncultured bacterium. Its description in RNAcentral is "bacterial SSU rRNA". It matches the Rfam family "Bacterial small subunit ribosomal RNA", at positions 28 to 426 of the family's 1533-position model. The record is from RNAcentral.
GACGAACGCUGGCGGCGUGCUCAACACAUGCAAGUCGAACGGUGAGGAGGAGCUUGCUCCUCCGAUCAGUGGCGAACGGGUGAGUAACACGUGAGUAACCUGCCCCAGACCCUGGGAUAACAGUUGGAAACAGCUGCUAAUACCGGAUACGAGACGGAGAGGCAUCUCUACCGUCUGGAAAGAUUUAUCGGUCUGGGAUGGACUCGCGGCCUAUCAGCUUGUUGGUGAGGUAAAGGCUCACCAAGGCGACGACGGGUAGCCGGCCUGAGAGGGCGACCGGCCACACUGGGACUGAGACACGGCCCAGACUCCUACGGGAGGCAGCAGUGGGGAAUAUUGCACAAUGGGCGAAAGCCUGAUGCAGCGACGCCGCGUGAGGGAUGACGGCCUUCGGUUGU